Molecule: long non-coding RNA, 1019 nt
Filed under: Homo sapiens (human)
Lineage: Eukaryota; Metazoa; Chordata; Mammalia; Primates; Hominidae
Description: SLC2A9 antisense RNA 1, transcript variant 2 (SLC2A9-AS1)
Source: RNAcentral
AGCUGGGGAGCUACCACAACAGACGGAAGAACCAGAUCCAAUGAUAUGUGUAAGAAGAAUAAUUUCAGUGCAAUUGAAAGAACAGAUGCACAAUUGACUCUGUCAAGUGAUGGAAUGACCCGUCUCAAAUAAAGCCAAUGAGGCUGGAGUGCAGUGGCAUGAUCACAGCUCACUGCAGAUUUGAUCCCCUGGGGUCAGGAGGUCCUGGUACUUCAGCCUCCCGAGUAGCUGAGACAGACGACUACAGGGGAGAAGAGGAGACAUGGAAUGAAGAUUGGUUGACUGCUAAGUAUGUAUCAGACAUUUGGAUAUCUCAUCUCAUUCAACCCUUGUAGCCAUCCUGAGAAGUUUCAUUCACAACAGAGAAGUCUGGAGUGGAGAAACACAUCCCACAGCCAUGCCAAAGAUGGUAGAACUGCAGGGCCUGCUAGACCUCACAGUGCUCUCCUCUUCCUGGACAUACUGCCAGGCCACCUUACCCAGUUCCUUGCAUCUAGGUGGGGCCAUAUGACUACUUCUCAAGCAAGGAGUGUAAGUACAAGGGACAUGUGUGACCUCCACCAAGACGCUGAGAAUGUGUUUGCCUGCUCCACGCUUGCUCCUGUCAGCUGGCCAGCCACAGAGGAUCUAGCAGAGGACUCCAAAGUCCUAGAGAAUGGUGGAACCACUUCACUUAAGGAACCUGGGUCCCUGAAUGGCUUCAUGGAGCAGAGUGUUCCUGCUCAUCUCCUUCAAAUGAGGUGAUAUAAAUGGGAAUUUUCACUGUGUUAAGCCACUGAGAUACAGGGCUUGUUUAUUACAGCAGCAAGUUUGCCCUGCUGACACAAUCAACGUAACUACAGAGCCCAUGCCAUCACAAUUGCACUGUGACCUGAGGCUUCAAGAAGGAGGAGAGAUUUAGGCCAAGUCAUGAAGGCUUGGAGAUAUAAACCUUUACCUAGAGCUUUCCUUUUAUGUGUUGGGAGAACUCGAUCCUGUUUGAAGAAAACAAUCUGCAAUAAAAAUUUGCUUUAAGAUCA